Molecule: ribosomal RNA, 440 nt
Filed under: uncultured bacterium
Lineage: Bacteria
Description: partial 16S ribosomal RNA
Rfam family: Bacterial small subunit ribosomal RNA
Source: RNAcentral
CCUACGGGAGGCAGCAGUGGGGGAUAUUGCACAAUGGGGGGAACCCUGAUGCAGCGACGCCGCGUGGGUGAAGGAGCGUUUCGGCGCGUAAAGCCCUAUCGGCAGGGACGAAGAUGACGGUACCUGCCCAAGAAGACCCGGCUAACUACGUGCCGGCAGCCGCGGUAAUACGUAGGGGGCAGGAGUUAUCCGGAUUUACGGGGGUGAAAGGGGGCGGAGAAGGCAAUGCAGGCCAGGAGUGAAAGCACGGGGCCCACCCCCGGGACUGCUCUUGGAACUGCAUGGCUUGAGUACAGGAGGGGCAGGCGGAAUUCCUAGUGUAGCGGUGAAAUGCGUAGAUAUUAGGAGGAACACCGGUGGCGAAGGCGGCCUGCUGGACUGUGACUGACGCUGAGGCCCGAAGGUGUGGGGAGCAAACAGGAUUAGAUACCCGAGUAGUC